UCGCUGUGAGCGCCUCGGCUCACCUCGCUGGGAUCCCCUUCCUGAGCUUCGUUGAUCACUGUGACUGCGCAAAUACAGAGUCAGCUAAGCCAGAGGAAGGCCUGGGGCCCAGGAAACAGUGGCUGUUGCUCAAGGAAAGCAGUGACUCCCAGGAUGACAGCUGCGUGCCAGGUCUCAGGAGCAAGCAGUACCCACUGUGGGGCGGGACGUUGAGAGCUCCAGGAGGAAGGUGAGAAAACCAAGGCUGAGAAGGUAAGCAACUUGCUUCAAGUCACAUAAGAAGUCGCAAGAGCAGAAUUCCAACCUAAUAGUUAGUCUCUAGAACACGUGCUCUUUUUCGUUAGCUCCAGUAGCUUCCCUCAGCCAAAGGUCCGCUUUACAAAUUCAUCGUUGCUGCUUGUUAUGGGUUGAAUUGUGUCCCCCCAAAAUUACGUUGGAGUCCUAAUGCACGAUACCACAGAAUGUGACCUUAUUCGGAAACAGGGUCCUUGCAGAUGAGGUCCUAGUGGAAUAGAGGAGAUCCCUAAUCUAAUAUGACUGGUGUCCUUAUAAGAAACUCCACACGAAGAGACAGACAUGCUCCGGGGAGAAUGCCAUGUCAAGAUCGGAGCUACGCUGCCAAAGCCAAGAAGCUACCAGAAACUAGGAGAAAGGCCUGGAACAGAUACUUCCCUCAUCUUCAAGGGAAAUAAGGCCCAGACAACACGUUGAUUUUGAACUUCUAGCCACCGGAACUGUGAGACAUUCAAUUCCACUUGUUUAAGCCACCCAGUGACAAGAGCACUAGGAGCAGGUUUUGUUCU
Molecule: long non-coding RNA, 803 nt
Filed under: Equus caballus (horse)
Lineage: Eukaryota; Metazoa; Chordata; Mammalia; Perissodactyla; Equidae
Description: lncRNA (ENSECAG00000048562.1)
Source: RNAcentral